AGAGGAAUAGCUGGGUAAAAUGGUGGUUUCAUUCCCAGUUUUUCAAGGAAUCUCCAUAUUGUUUCCCAUAAUGGUUGCACCAAUUUGCAGUCCUACCAGCAAU
This 103-nucleotide microRNA precursor is filed under the name Marmota monax (woodchuck). The record is from RNAcentral. Lineage: Eukaryota; Metazoa; Chordata; Mammalia; Rodentia; Sciuridae.